Molecule: ribosomal RNA, 330 nt
Filed under: Triticum aestivum (bread wheat)
Lineage: Eukaryota; Viridiplantae; Streptophyta; Magnoliopsida; Poales; Poaceae
Description: partial small subunit ribosomal RNA
Source: RNAcentral
AUGAUUGAAAACCUCUGCCCAAUUCUUUCAUGGAACAUCCGAGGAUUGAACUUGCCUGCAAGGAGAGCUACCGUUGCUGAAGUUGAUGUCUCCCAUCGCCUUGGCAUUCUCUGUCUCCAGGAAACAAAAAUCUCAACCUGGACUGCACAUUUAGCCAGAGAAGUUGGAGGUGCCAGGCUUAGAGACUGCGUCGUGCUACCUGCUUUUGACACUAGAGGUGGUGUGGCAAUCUUAUGGGAUCCUGAUGUUGUGGAAAUCACCUCCCAUGCCAUUGGGCAGUUUGCAAUAACAGCGCAAGCCAGGUUAAAAGCAUCAGGCAAAACUUUCUAG